This 460-nucleotide ribosomal RNA is filed under the name uncultured bacterium. RNAcentral's name for it is "partial 16S ribosomal RNA". It matches the Rfam family "Bacterial small subunit ribosomal RNA", at positions 338 to 795 of the family's 1533-position model. The record is from RNAcentral.
CCUACGGGUGGCAGCAGUGAGGAAUAUUGGUCAAUGGACGAGAGUCUGAACCAGCCAAGUAGCGUGAAGGAUGACUGCCCUAUGGGUUGUAAACUUCUUUUAUAUGGGAAUAAAACGUUCCACGUGUGGGAUUUUGUAUGUACCAUAUGAAUAAGGAUCGGCUAACUCCGUGCCAGCAGCCGCGGUAAUACGGAGGAUCCGAGCGUUAUCCGGAUUUAUUGGGUUUAAAGGGUGCGUAGGUGGAUUGUUAAGUCAGUUGUGAAAGUUUGCGGCUCAACCGUAAAAUUGCAGUUGAAACUGGCAGUCUUGAGUACAGUAGAGGUGGGCGGAAUUCGUGGUGUAGCGGUGAAAUGCUUAGAUAACACGAAGAACUCCGAUUGCGAAGGCAGUUCACUGGACUGCAACUGACACUGAGGCUCGAAAGUGUUGGUAUCAAACAGGAUUAGAUACCCUAGUAGUC